UUCUAAAAGAGAAUGUUUAUAUUCUGUUCAUGUGUAAGGAUACACUUCAAAAAUCCUUUGAGGCUUCGGACUAUCUUUAUCUGGAUGUGGAAAGACCAUGUUUCUGUACUCAGUCAUCCACAGGAAAGAGGCUAAGGGAAAGGAAACAGACCAGGGAAGGGAAGUUACUUGUCCAAGGUCACAUAACGAGAGAGCGGGAAGAAACAGAAUUCAAACGCAAGCUUCUAUGCCUCCAAGCACACUUCCAAUUGCAACCCACUCCUGUGAAAUCACAAAUUCCUGAAGUAUUGAAAUAAGUAUAAGUUAGUGGAAAGGGAUGAGAUCGAAUCAAACUCAUUCAAAAAUGGAGGAAAUUAAUUUGUUAAAAGGAAAAAAACCUCAAUGAUUAGCCACCCUGUAAUUUCCAGUGAUUUCCUUUCAAGGAAACUGUGACCACUGUCGUUAUAUACAAAAUAAAAAUAAAUAAAAGAGAAGAAAGUUUUGUGUU
RNAcentral lists this long non-coding RNA (487 nucleotides) under Monodelphis domestica (gray short-tailed opossum). RNAcentral's name for it is "lncRNA (ENSMODG00000030440.2)". The record is from RNAcentral. Lineage: Eukaryota; Metazoa; Chordata; Mammalia; Didelphimorphia; Didelphidae.